This 497-nucleotide ribosomal RNA is filed under the name uncultured bacterium. Its description in RNAcentral is "partial 16S ribosomal RNA". It matches the Rfam family "Bacterial small subunit ribosomal RNA", at positions 28 to 507 of the family's 1533-position model. The record is from RNAcentral.
GAUGAACGCUGGCGGCGUGCCUAAUACAUGCAAGUCGAGCGAACGGACGAGAAGCUUGCUUCUCUGAUGUUAGCGGCGGACGGGUGAGUAACACGUGGAUAACCUACCUAUAAGACUGGGAUAACUUCGGGAAACCGGAGCUAAUACCGGAUAAUAUUUUGAACCGCAUGGUUCAAAAGUGAAAGACGGUCUUGCUGUCACUUAUAGAUGGAUCCGCGCUGCAUUAGCUAGUUGGUAAGGUAACGGCUUACCAAGGCAACGAUGCAUAGCCGACCUGAGAGGGUGAUCGGCCACACUGGAACUGAGGCACGGUCCAGACUCCUACGGGAGGCAGCAGUAGGGAAUCUUCCGCAAUGGGCGAAAGCCUGACGGAGCAACGCCGCGUGAGUGAUGAAGGUCUUCGGAUCGUAAAACUCUGUUAUUAGGGAAGAUCAUAUGUGUAAGUAACUGUGCACAUCUUGACGGUACCUAAUCAGAAAGCCACGGCUAACUACGUG